AGUGAACGCUGGCGGUAGGCCUAACACAUGCAAGUCGAACGGCAGCACAGUAAGAGCUUGCUCUUACGGGUGGCGAGUGGCGGACGGGUGAGGAAUACAUCGGAAUCUACUUUUUCGUGGGGGAUAACGUAGGGAAACUUACGCUAAUACCGCAUAUGACCUACGGGUGAAAGCAGGGGAUCUUCGGACCUUGCGCGAUUGAAUGAGCCGAUGUCGGAUUAGCUAGUUGGCGGGGUAAAGGCCCACCAAGGCGACGAUCCGUAGCUGGUCUGAGAGGAUGAUCAGCCACACUGGAACUGAGACACGGUCCAGACUCCUACGGGAGGCAGCAGUGGGGAAUAUUGAACAAUGGGCGCAAGCCUGAUCCAGCCAUACCGCGUGGGUGAAGAAGGCCUUCGGGUUGUAAAGCCCUUUUGUUGGGGAAGAAAAGCAGCAGGUUAAUACCCCGCUGUUCUGACGGUACCCAAAGAAUAAGCACCGGCUAACUUCGUG
RNAcentral lists this ribosomal RNA (492 nucleotides) under uncultured bacterium. RNAcentral's name for it is "partial 16S ribosomal RNA". It matches the Rfam family "Bacterial small subunit ribosomal RNA", at positions 29 to 507 of the family's 1533-position model. The record is from RNAcentral.